This 45-nucleotide non-coding RNA is filed under the name Schistosoma curassoni. Lineage: Eukaryota; Metazoa; Platyhelminthes; Trematoda; Strigeidida; Schistosomatidae. The record is from RNAcentral.
AUCCAGCUGACGAGUCCUAAAUAGGACGAAACUCGCGCCUUGGAU